This 1300-nucleotide ribosomal RNA is filed under the name Salmonella enterica subsp. enterica serovar Thompson. Its description in RNAcentral is "partial 23S ribosomal RNA". It matches the Rfam family "Bacterial large subunit ribosomal RNA", at positions 1649 to 2925 of the family's 2925-position model. The record is from RNAcentral. Lineage: Bacteria; Pseudomonadati; Pseudomonadota; Gammaproteobacteria; Enterobacterales; Enterobacteriaceae.
CAAACCGACACAGGUGGUCAGGUAGAGAAUACCAAGGCGCUUGAGAGAACUCGGGUGAAGGAACUAGGCAAAAUGGUGCCGUAACUUCGGGAGAAGGCACGCUGACACGUAGGUGAAGUGAUUUACUCAUGGAGCUGAAGUCAGUCGAAGAUACCAGCUGGCUGCAACUGUUUAUUAAAAACACAGCACUGUGCAAACACGAAAGUGGACGUAUACGGUGUGACGCCUGCCCGGUGCCGGAAGGUUAAUUGAUGGGGUCAGCGCAAGCGAAGCUCCUGAUCGAAGCCCCGGUAAACGGCGGCCGUAACUAUAACGGUCCUAAGGUAGCGAAAUUCCUUGUCGGGUAAGUUCCGACCUGCACGAAUGGCGUAAUGAUGGCCAGGCUGUCUCCACCCGAGACUCAGUGAAAUUGAACUCGCUGUGAAGAUGCAGUGUACCCGCGGCAAGACGGAAAGACCCCGUGAACCUUUACUAUAGCUUGACACUGAACAUUGAGCCUUGAUGUGUAGGAUAGGUGGGAGGCUUUGAAGUGUGGACGCCAGUCUGCAUGGAGCCGACCUUGAAAUACCACCCUUUAAUGUUUGAUGUUCUAACGUGGACCCGUAAUCCGGGUUGCGGACAGUGUCUGGUGGGUAGUUUGACUGGGGCGGUCUCCUCCUAAAGAGUAACGGAGGAGCACGAAGGUUGGCUAAUCCUGGUCGGACAUCAGGAGGUUAGUGCAAUGGCAUAAGCCAGCUUGACUGCGAGCGUGACGGCGCGAGCAGGUGCGAAAGCAGGUCAUAGUGAUCCGGUGGUUCUGAAUGGAAGGGCCAUCGCUCAACGGAUAAAAGGUACUCCGGGGAUAACAGGCUGAUACCGCCCAAGAGUUCAUAUCGACGGCGGUGUUUGGCACCUCGAUGUCGGCUCAUCACAUCCUGGGGCUGAAGUAGGUCCCAAGGGUAUGGCUGUUCGCCAUUUAAAGUGGUACGCGAGCUGGGUUUAGAACGUCGUGAGACAGUUCGGUCCCUAUCUGCCGUGGGCGCUGGAGAACUGAGGGGGGCUGCUCCUAGUACGAGAGGACCGGAGUGGACGCAUCACUGGUGUUCGGGUUGUCAUGCCAAUGGCACUGCCCGGUAGCUAAAUGCGGAAGAGAUAAGUGCUGAAAGCAUCUAAGCACGAAACUUGCCCCGAGAUGAGUUCUCCCUGAGACUUAGAGUCUCCUGAAGGAACGUUGAAGACGACGACGUUGAUAGGCCGGGUGUGUAAGCGCAGCGAUGCGUUGAGCUAACCGGUACUAAUGAACCGUGAGGCUUAACCUUAC